GUGGUAAGGUCUUUAACCUGACA
This 23-nucleotide unclassified non-coding RNA is filed under the name Dictyostelium discoideum. Lineage: Eukaryota; Evosea; Eumycetozoa; Dictyosteliales; Dictyosteliaceae. The record is from RNAcentral.